GUAAACAACUUGGCUCAUGAAAUAUGCAAAACCCCUCUUGGUUUUUUUCCCUUUAACCCCAUCCUUACUCCUAUCCCUCCUCAGCCCCAUAAACAUUCAUGCUACUGUGCUUGAAUAUGCAUUUUUGAAAAGUGUAUGCAUUUUUAUUAGUGUAUUUUUUAAUGAUAUGGGACUUUAGGAUCUUAUUUUCUACUUUUUUUCACUCAAUAUUCUUUUUAUGAAUCUAUUCUUUUGCAGUUGGUAUUGUAAUCCUAGUUUAUCGCUUCUGAUUGCUGCACAGUAUUCCAUAUUGGACAGCAACACAUGUGACUUCCAUUCCCCAAAUGGAUACCAAGGCUACCCCUACCUCUCAGUGAUAAUCAUCCUCGUCCAUGGUCUCUUGUGGACCUAUGUGUAAUUCCUCGGCAGCAUAUGCCUAAAAAUGAGGAGAUCCAAUCACACGCUGGGACUAACAGGUGGUGAUACCAUCGUGAUCCAGAGAGACUCCAUAACAUUCCUGAAGGUACAUAACAGAGAAAGACCUAGAGGGCCCUGGCCACCCAUAUCUUGUAUUGGUAUCAGUUGUAGUGCUAUAUGUCUUCCCAUUUCCCAAGAAUCUUCUGAAGGAUUAUUUUACAAGCAGAUGGCCUGCCAAGGUGACAGAAAUUCAAUCCAGAAAACACUUCUUUAAAGCACCUGCUGCAUUGUAAGUACAAGGCUGGCUAGAGGAACCACAGAGCCAACUAAGACAGAGUCACUGCCCUUUGCAUUCACAAUCUGGCUUUGGGGGGGAAGAGAGAAAAGACCAUCUACAAGUAAUCCCAACACAAUAUGAUGGCAUAAUUUAGAACAUGCCAUGCCAACAGCGAGCACUAUGGGUGCUGGGUCAGUCUAGACACUGAUACCUGAGAGCAUUAUUUAGAAUAUAAGGACAAAAAGACCUUAACAAAGGAAAUCAGGGAACCACAGGAGGUGGAAAGGAACAUGACACAUUCAACUCACAGGAAAGAGAUGCAGGUGACAUCAACUUGGAUGGAUUAAUGGAUGAGAGGAUGGGUGGUUGGACAAAUUAAUGUAUGCUGAUGAAAGAAAGUGCUUCAUUUCCAAUUUUCCAGAUUCCUGAAGACCCUGUUCCCCUUUGUUGUUGUAAUAAAAAGGAACACUAGGUGGCAUCACACUACCAAAAGUUCUCACCUUUUAAAGCCUCCAGGAGACGCUCAUCCACCAAGAUUGGGUCAGCCCCUAAUUUAGACAAAUUUCACUUCCUCGGGGAGAGAUUUCCUGACCAUCCUUCAACACCAGAUUACCUUUGCAAGUACCAUGUAUUCGACUUCUUGGACCCUCUCACAAUGGUAGUUCAUCACGUGUUCAUGGAAAUGGUUGCUUAAGAUCUGUCUUCUCUACAAGCUAUCAAACAAGAAGGCAAGCCUGCUGCAGACCAAACUUAACAGAACAUUUGUUGAGCAUUUGACAUCGGUUCCCGAAGGAUCUCCAUACAAACUCCACUCUUGAUACUGGAGGAGGCUACAAAGCUGGGGCACAUUUAUCAGGAAGAUUGAAAGAUUGGCCAUGAAGUGGAAGCAGUGGGCGAUCUGCCAUUGCAGGCGAUGAUUUUUACCAGAAGGGGAUGACAGUGUCACAACCACGCAGUUAUCCAACCUGCCUUGCAUUUCAUUGGCUUAACAGCAACUGCGUUUCUCCCAGUCGGAUUACUUUUGGGUAUGACUGGUUCAUUCAGUUGGUGCUCUUGCUGGAGAGGCCAGGCCAAGACUGCACUUUGGUGUUCUUCCUAGAACCAGGGAGGACUUACACAAAGUCACCAGCUAACCGGAUUAUUCAAAAAGACUGAGUAGCUCCACACAACCUGUUCCCACUACAAAUGAAUAAAUAAA
Long non-coding RNA from Prionailurus viverrinus (fishing cat), 1871 nucleotides. RefSeq lists it as uncharacterized. The transcript has 4 exons. The record is from RefSeq and is a predicted model, not a curated record. NCBI's taxonomy places the organism in Eukaryota, Metazoa, Chordata, Mammalia, Carnivora, Felidae.